Potamilus streckersoni is the source of this 74-nucleotide non-coding RNA. The record is from the annotation of a GenBank genome assembly. Lineage: Eukaryota; Metazoa; Mollusca; Bivalvia; Unionida; Unionidae.
UGCUCUGGUGGUCUAGUGGUUAGAGAGUCUGCCUUGGAUGCGGGAGGUCGUGGGUUUGAUCCCCGAUAGAGUCA